Molecule: unclassified non-coding RNA, 177 nt
Filed under: uncultured Cladobotryum
Lineage: Eukaryota; Fungi; Ascomycota; Sordariomycetes; Hypocreales; Hypocreaceae
Description: sequence contains ITS1
Source: RNAcentral
CCGAGUUAUUCAACUCCCAAACCCACUGUGAACCUUACCUAAACGUUGCUUCGGCGGGACAGCCCCGGGCCCCCGCGCCCGGAACCAGGCGCCCGCCGGAGGACCCCAAACUCUUCUGUAUUGUCUAGCGGCAUUGCUCUGAGUGGCCCCUUAGCGGGCGAAAAACAAAAUGAAUCA